Molecule: ribosomal RNA, 774 nt
Filed under: uncultured Neocallimastigales
Lineage: Eukaryota; Fungi; Neocallimastigomycota; Neocallimastigomycetes; Neocallimastigales
Description: partial large subunit ribosomal RNA
Rfam family: Eukaryotic large subunit ribosomal RNA
Source: RNAcentral
UACUAGAGUAGCACUCGCAUAUCAAUAAGCGGAGGAAAAGAAACUAACAAGGAUUCCCCUAGUAACGGCGAGUGAAGCGGGAAGAGCUCAAAUUUGAAAUCUUAAAGGGUUUCCCUUUACGAAUUGUAGUUUAAAGAAGUGUUCUCUGUUGAGGUUUUGGUAAAAGUUCUUUGGAAUAGGACAUCAUAGAGGGUGAGAAUCCCGUAUUUGACCUUUACUUUCAACUUUGUGAUACACUUUCAAAGAGUCGGAUUGUUUGGGAAUGCAGUCCAAAAUGGGUGGUAAAUUUCAUCUAAAGCUAAAUAUUGGCGAGAGACCGAUAGCGAACAAGUACCGUGAGGGAAAGAUGAAAAGAACUUUGAAAAGAGAGUUAAACAGUACGUGAAAUUGUCAAAAGGGAAGCGUUUGACACCAGUGUUGUUUUUCUGAAAAUCAAUUAAAGAACUGUUUAUGCUAAGUUGUUUAGACUUUAUCAGCUAACUGUUUAGUUUUGAGCUUUUCUUCAAUGCACUUUUCAGUUAACAAGUCAACAUCAAUUUCUUUUGCUGUAAAAAAGCUUGAGGAAGGUGGCUUGAGAUUCGUCUUAAGUGUUUAUAGCCUCUUGCCUAUGCAGUCGGAGAGAUUGAGGUCUGCAGCGUAGAUCCUUCGGGGCUAAAUGCAUUUGUGCUAAGUUAUAGCAUUUUAUAGACAACUUGUUGACUAUGAUUUGUCUUGUAGCUUACUCGCUUAUGUUAUUUUACCUACGCUUAGGAUGUUGAGCGCAUGUCUCUCUCU